AUGCAUGUCUAAGUAUAAGCAAUUAUACGGCGAAACUGCGAAUGGCUCAUUAUAUAAGUUAUCGUUUAUUUGAUAGUACCUUACUACUUGGAUAACUGUGGUAAUUCUAGAGCUAAUACAUGCUAAAAAUCCCGACUCCGGAAGGGAUGUAUUUAUUAGAUUAAAAACCAAUGCCCUCUGGGCUCUCUGGUGAUUCAUGAUAACUUCUCGAAUCGCAUGGCCUUGCGCCGGCGAUGGUUCAUUCAAAUUUCUUCCCUAUCAACUUUCGAUGUUUGGGUAGUGGCCAAACAUGGUUGCAACGGGUAACGGAGGGUUAGGGCUCGACCCCGGAGAAGGAGCCUGAGAAACGGCUACUACAUCCAAGGAAGGCAGCAGGCGCGCAAAUUACCCAAUCCCGAUUCGGGGAGGUAGUGACAAUAAAUACUGAUACAGGGCUCUUUUGGGUCUUGUAAUCGGAAUGAGUACAAUUUAAAUCCCUUAACGAGGAACAANNNNNNNNNNNNNNNNNNNNNNNNNNNNNNNNNNNNUCCAGCUCCAAUAGCGUAUAUUAAAGUUGUUGUGGUUAAAAAGCUCGUAGUUGAACCUUGGGCCUGGCUGGCCGGUCCGCCUCACCGCGUGUACUGGUCCGGCCGGGCCUUUCCCUCUGUCGAACCCCAUGCCCUUCACUGGGCGUGGCGGGGAAACAGGACUUUUACUUUGAAAAAAUUAGAGUGCUCCAGGCAGGCCUAUGCUCGAAUACAUUAGCAUGGAAUAAUGAAAUAGGACGUGCGGNUCUAUUUUGUUGGUUUCUAGGACCGCCGNAAUGAUUAAUAGGGACAGUCGGGGGCAUCAGUAUUCAAUUGUCAGAGGUGAAAUUCUUGGAUUUAUUGAAGACUAACUACUGCGAAAGCAUUUGCCAAGGAUGUUUUCAUUAAUCAGGAACGAAAGUUAGGGGAUCGAAGACGAUCAGAUACC
Molecule: ribosomal RNA, 954 nt
Filed under: Balansia obtecta
Lineage: Eukaryota; Fungi; Ascomycota; Sordariomycetes; Hypocreales; Clavicipitaceae
Description: partial 18S small subunit ribosomal RNA
Rfam family: Eukaryotic small subunit ribosomal RNA
Source: RNAcentral